UACGUAGGGGGCAAGCGUUGUCCGGAUUUAUUGGGCGUAAAGCGCUCGCAGGCGGUUUGUCGCGUCGUGCGUGAAAGACCCCGGCUCAACUGGGGAGGGUCGUGCGAUACGGGCGAACUGGAGGCCAGUAGGGGGAUGCGGAAUUCCGGGUGUAGUGGUGGAAUGCGUAGAGAUCCGGAGGAACACCAGCGGCGAAGGCGGCAUCCUGGACUGGUCCUGACACUCAGGAGCGAAAGCGUGGGGAGCGAUCCGG
RNAcentral lists this ribosomal RNA (253 nucleotides) under uncultured bacterium. Its description in RNAcentral is "partial 16S ribosomal RNA". It matches the Rfam family "Bacterial small subunit ribosomal RNA", at positions 524 to 776 of the family's 1533-position model. The record is from RNAcentral.